RNAcentral lists this ribosomal RNA (401 nucleotides) under Micrococcus luteus. RNAcentral's name for it is "bacterial SSU rRNA". It matches the Rfam family "Bacterial small subunit ribosomal RNA", at positions 384 to 797 of the family's 1533-position model. Lineage: Bacteria; Bacillati; Actinomycetota; Actinomycetes; Micrococcales; Micrococcaceae. The record is from RNAcentral.
UGAUGCAGCGACGCCGCGUGAGGGAUGACGGCNUUCGGGUUGUAAACCUCUUUCAGUAGGGAAGAAGCGAAAGUGACGGUACCUGCAGAAGAAGCACCGGCUAACUACGUGCCAGCAGCCGCGGUAAUACGUAGGGUGCGAGCGUUAUCCGGAAUUAUUGGGCGUAAAGAGCUCGUAGGCGGUUUGUCGCGUCUGUCGUGAAAGUCCGGGGCUUAACCCCGGAUCUGCGGUGGGUACGGGCAGACUAGAGUGCAGUAGGGGAGACUGGAAUUCCUGGUGUAGCGGUGGAAUGCGCAGAUAUCAGGAGGAACACCGAUGGCGAAGGCAGGUCUCUGGGCUGUAACUGACGCUGAGGAGCGAAAGCAUGGGGAGCGAACAGGAUUAGAUACCCUGGUAGUCCA